Molecule: unclassified non-coding RNA, 248 nt
Filed under: Hevea brasiliensis (rubber tree)
Lineage: Eukaryota; Viridiplantae; Streptophyta; Magnoliopsida; Malpighiales; Euphorbiaceae
Source: RNAcentral
GUGAGGUGCUACAUUUUUCUUGUGAAUCAUAAUGUUCCAUCUAGCUAGCUCUCCUGGUAAUCCUCCUUCAUGCAAUACUUCCGAGUGAUUGUUACUGUAAUAAAAAAAUUAUUGAUAAUUAUAGCACUAAUACCAAAGUUACAAGAAUUCCUAAUUAUGCUGAUGAAGUGUCUGCAUUAUCCAUAAACUAAGAGAGAUACCAUAUAUUUACUUUAAAAGUGAAGUCCAUGUUAAGAAUAGGACAAUAA